RNAcentral lists this ribosomal RNA (460 nucleotides) under uncultured bacterium. RNAcentral's name for it is "partial 16S ribosomal RNA". It matches the Rfam family "Bacterial small subunit ribosomal RNA", at positions 338 to 795 of the family's 1533-position model. The record is from RNAcentral.
CCUACGGGUGGCAGCAGUGAGGAAUAUUGGUCAAUGGACGAGAGUCUGAACCAGCCAAGUAGCGUGAAGGCUGACUGCCCUAUGGGUUGUAAACUUCUUUUAUAAAGGAAUAAAACGAGGCACGUGUGCCUUUUUGCAUGUACUUUAUGAAUAAGGAUCGGCUAACUCCGUGCCAGCAGCCGCGGUAAUACGGAGGAUCCGAGCGUUAUCCGGAUUUAUUGGGUUUAAAGGGAGCGUAGAUGGGUUGUUAAGUCAGUUGUGAAAGUUUGCGGCUCAACCGUAAAAUUGCAAUUGAUACUGGCAGUCGUGAGUACAGUUGAGGUAGGCGGAAUUCGUGGUGUAGCGGUGAAAUGCUUAGAUAUCACGAAGAACCCCGAUUGCGAAGGCAGCUUACUAAACUGUGACUGACAUUGAUGCUCGAAAGUGUGGGUAUCAAACAGGAUUAGAUACCCUAGUAGUC